GACGAACGCUGGCGGCGUGCCUAACACAUGCAAGUCGAACGGAAGGGCGCGGCGUUUGUGGGGUGGUCGAGUGGCGAACGGGUGAGUAACACGUGAGUAACCUGCACCUGAAUUUGGGAUAACUUCAGGAAACUGGGGCUCUUAUCGGGUAGGAUCUCCUGCUCCAUGGGGGGGGUUGGAGAGUUUCGGCGGUUGGGGCUGGACUCGAGGCUUAUCCGCUGCAUGGUCGGGUAGUGACGUACCAAGCCUUUGACGGGUAGCCGGCCUAGGAGGGUUGCCGGGCACAUUGGGACUGCGAUACGGCGCAGACUCGUACGUGACGCAGCAGUGGAGAACAUGGCAGAAUGGGCGGAAGCCUGAUGCAGCAGCGUCGCGUGCGGGAUGACGGCUUUCGGGUUGUGAACAGCUGUGGCCGGUGACGAAGAGUGAGUGACGGUAACGGGUAAAGAAGCACCGGCUAACUACGUG
This 468-nucleotide ribosomal RNA is filed under the name uncultured bacterium. RNAcentral's name for it is "partial 16S ribosomal RNA". It matches the Rfam family "Bacterial small subunit ribosomal RNA", at positions 28 to 507 of the family's 1533-position model. The record is from RNAcentral.